This 468-nucleotide ribosomal RNA is filed under the name uncultured bacterium. RNAcentral describes it as "partial 16S ribosomal RNA". It matches the Rfam family "Bacterial small subunit ribosomal RNA", at positions 28 to 507 of the family's 1533-position model. The record is from RNAcentral.
GACGAACGCUGGCGGCGUGCUUAACACAUGCCAGUCGAACAGAAAGGCCCUGCUUUUGUGGGGUGCUCGAGUGGCGAACGGGUGAGUAACACGUGAGUAACCUGCCCUUGACUUUGGGAUAACUUCAGGAAACUGGGGCUAAUACCGGAUAGGAGCUCCUGCUGCAUGGUGGAGGUUGGAAAGUUUCGGCGGUUGGGGAUGGACUCGCGGCUUAUCAGCUUGUUGGUGGGGUAGUGGCUUACCAAGGCUUUGACGGGUAGCCGGCCUGAGAGGGUGACCGGCCACAUUGGGACUGAGAUACGGCCCAGACUCCUACGGGAGGCAGCAGUGGGGAAUAUUGCACAAUGGGCGGAAGCCUGAUGCAGCAACGCCGCGUGCGGGAUGACGGCCUUCGGGUUGUAAACCGCUUUCGCCUGUGACGAAGCGUGAGUGACGGUAAUGGGUAAAGAAGCACCGGCUAACUACGUG